Molecule: ribosomal RNA, 500 nt
Filed under: uncultured bacterium
Lineage: Bacteria
Description: partial 16S ribosomal RNA
Rfam family: Bacterial small subunit ribosomal RNA
Source: RNAcentral
AUUGAACGCUGGCGGAAUGCUUUACACAUGCAAGUCGAACGGCAGCACGGACUUCGGUCUGGUGGCGAGUGGCGAACGGGUGAGUAAUACAUCGGAACGUGCCCAAUCGUGGGGGAUAACGUAGCGAAAGCUACGCUAAUACCGCAUACGAUCUCAGGAUGAAAGCGGGGGAUCGCAAGACCUCGCGCGAUUGGAGCGGCCGAUGGCAGAUUAGGUAGUUGGUAGGGUAAAGGCCUACCAAGCCGACGAUCUGUAGCUGGUCUGAGAGGAUGAUCAGCCACACUGGGACUGAGACACGGCCCAGACUCCUACGGGAGGCAGCAGUGGGGAAUUUUGGGCAAUGGACGCAAGUCUGAUCCAGCCAUUCCGCGUGCAGGAUGAAGGCCCUCGGGUUGUAAACUGCUUUUGUACAGAACGAAAAGGCUCUGGUUAAUACCUAGGGCUCAUGACGGUACUGUAAGAAUAAGCACCGGCUAACUACGUGCCAGCAGCCGCAGUAA